AGGCAGUGUAGUUAGCUGAUUGGCUGAAUCGGUGUCCAAUCACUAACCUCACCGCCAGG
RNAcentral lists this microRNA precursor (59 nucleotides) under Eptatretus burgeri (inshore hagfish). RNAcentral's name for it is "Ebu-Mir-34-P2b_pre stem-loop". Lineage: Eukaryota; Metazoa; Chordata; Myxini; Myxiniformes; Myxinidae. The record is from RNAcentral.